AGAGUUUGAUCAUGGCUCAGGACGAACGCUGGCGGCGUGCCUGAUACAUGCAAGUAGAACGCUGAAGAGAGGAGCUUGCUCUUCUUGGAUGAGUUGCGAACGGGUGAGUAACGCGUAGGUAACCUGCCUUGUAGCGGGGGAUAACUAUUGGAAACGAUAGCUAAUACCGCAUAACAAUGGAUGACACAUGUCAUUUAUUUGAAAGGGGCAAUUGCUCCACUACAAGAUGGACCUGCGUUGUAUUAGCUAGUAGGUGAGGUAAUGGCUCACCUAGGCGACGAUACAUAGCCGACCUGAGAGGGUGAUCGGCCACACUGGGACUGAGACACGGCCCAGACUCCUACGGGAGGCAGCAGUAGGGAAUCUUCGGCAAUGGGGGCAACCCUGACCGAGCAACGCCGCGUGAGUGAAGAAGGUUUUCGGAUCGUAAAGCUCUGUUGUAAGUCAAGAACGGGUGUGAGAGUGGAAAGUUCACACUGUGACGGUAGCUUACCAGAAAGGGACGGCUAACUACAUGCCAGCAGCCGCGGUAAUACGUAGGUCCCGAGCGUUGUCCGGAUUUAUUGGGCGUAAAGCGAGCGCAGGCGGUUUGAUAAGUCUGAAGUUAAAGGCUGUGGCUCAACCAUAGUUCGCUUUGGAAACUGUCAAACUUGAGUGCAGAAGGGGAGAGUGGAAUUCCAUGUGUAGCGGUGAAAUGCGUAGAUAUAUGGAGGAACACCGGUGGCGAAAGCGGCUCUCUGGUCUGUAACUGACGCUGAGGCUCGAAAGCGUGGGGAGCGAACAGGAUUAGAUACCCUGGUAGUCCACGCCGUAAACGAUGAGUGCUAGGUGUUGGAUCCUUUCCGGGAUUCAGUGCCGAAGCU
Molecule: ribosomal RNA, 863 nt
Filed under: uncultured bacterium
Lineage: Bacteria
Description: bacterial SSU rRNA
Rfam family: Bacterial small subunit ribosomal RNA
Source: RNAcentral